RNAcentral lists this ribosomal RNA (254 nucleotides) under uncultured bacterium. RNAcentral's name for it is "partial 16S ribosomal RNA". It matches the Rfam family "Bacterial small subunit ribosomal RNA", at positions 524 to 776 of the family's 1533-position model. The record is from RNAcentral.
UACGUAGGGGGGCAAGCGUUGUCCGGAAUCAUUGGGCGUAAAGCGCGUGUAGGCGGCUCGGUAAGUCCGCUCUGAAAGUCCAGGGCUCAACCCUGGGAUGCGGGUGGAUACUGCCGGGCUCGAGUCCGGAAGAGGCGAGUGGAAUUCCUGGUGUAGCGGUGAAAUGCGCAGAUAUCAGGAGGAACACCGAUGGCGAAGGCAGCUCGCUGGGACGUGACUGACGCUGAGACGCGAAAGCGUGGGGAGCAAACAGG